UUGAACAUUCUCAAGAUGUGCCUCCUCUCUGCGAUGACCGUCGUCUUUUUAUUGGAAGCAGUCGAACAUUUCUGCGUGCGGGGAAAAUGAUGUCUGACAUGAAAUACAAAAUGAAAUAGGAGAGAAAACACAAAAAGGGCCGGCGGGUGUUCAUCUCAGCAGACCAACCUUUGACAAACAACAUCACAGUCCAGAGUCAUCGCUGAAAAAUGAGAAUUAACUCUGACUAAACAGUUAAUACUGCGCUUUGAGUAAACAUACAGUAUAAUCCUCUCUCUCCCUCUCUUCUAUUUGAUAUUUGAAAGUCUCCGUUUUUAAACCUCUUGCUGUAUAUUCUGCUUUCACACUCUAUAUCCUCUAAACACUGAUGCAACGCUGAUUUCCUUCUGCACAUCAAAGCUGUUUAUCUCUCCAACUCUUUUUAUCGCCGCGCGGCGUGCUGACUGCCGUGGUUUCUUUUUGGGAUCUGCUCAUUGUGCCAGUGGGCUGGUAUAGUUCGCACAUCUUAGUCAUUCACUGGGGUCUGGUGUGUCAGAAUGAAUGCUUCAUGCAUGAUCCACCUGUCAAACAGAUACAGUGAUCAGCUCAACCUCCGCGCAUGU
This is a long non-coding RNA of Sebastes umbrosus (honeycomb rockfish), 602 nucleotides long. RefSeq lists it as uncharacterized. The record is from RefSeq and is a predicted model, not a curated record. NCBI's taxonomy places the organism in Eukaryota, Metazoa, Chordata, Actinopteri, Perciformes, Sebastidae. The transcript is spliced from 3 exons.